GGGUGCUCCGACUGGCCUUGUUCUAUAAUGGUUUCAUAGGCUAAUCAGAUUCGGUUCCGGCAGGUGAAUGGUUAAAUGGUCAUCUAACAUGUGUCUAUAUAUGGUUUGUUACAAAUUAAAUAUCGAGGUUACUGCUCGCAGAUUAACAAUUUCCUUCGAAAUUAAAAUGUACCCAGAGGAUGGAAAUGGUGUAGAUGGUUUUGUCACAGUAGCAGAAAACAUGCUUCUUAAGUUCAGAGCGCAUAUUUUACCAUUUGGAAUGCACUAUAGUAGUGGAGAAGGGUCCUCCACUACUCACUAUAUUGAUAUACUUGUAUUUAUAACAACUUUAACCAGUUAAGUUUUGUAUUGAUGAAAAACAUAAUUAUACGUUUAUUAGUAAUUUUGUGAAGAGAUCGAUUUAUAUUGACUGACUUUGAGGGUAAUCGACUUCCGUCUAUAAAUAAUCCUUUUGUUUGUUUGUUCGAUGUAAAGUGGAUUCUAUUAAUAAAUCGUGAUUAGUCAUUAGCAAAUACAUGUGGAGUUUGGAAAACCAAAUUGUAGAUAAAGAUAUGGACACUAUAAAAACAGUGUUUAAGUAUUGUUUGAAUGUUUAAAACGUUCAAGAAUAUGGUGUUAUGAUAUUUAAUUUCCAUAUGGGAUAUCCUCUAACUACCAAAGGAACAAAGUUAAGUACUUCAAUGCUGACAGCGUGCCUGGCUCUGGGUAAUAUUACAAAAUAAUGGAUGACAAGGUGACAGAAAUUCGGUCAGGUAUAGACGAAAUACGGCUGACUAGUAAAUUCCUGUUAAAACGACUCAACCGGGUUAUAGAUGAUGGCAACACAGAAUGUACCUGCAAUUGCAAUACAGAACCAAUUGAUAAAAGUAGGUAACUUUGAAAACAAGUUCUGCUAUCAGCAUAUA
Long non-coding RNA from Ruditapes philippinarum (Manila clam), 905 nucleotides. RefSeq lists it as uncharacterized. The record is from RefSeq and is a predicted model, not a curated record. NCBI's taxonomy places the organism in Eukaryota, Metazoa, Mollusca, Bivalvia, Venerida, Veneridae. The transcript has 4 exons.